This 465-nucleotide ribosomal RNA is filed under the name uncultured bacterium. RNAcentral describes it as "partial 16S ribosomal RNA". It matches the Rfam family "Bacterial small subunit ribosomal RNA", at positions 28 to 507 of the family's 1533-position model. The record is from RNAcentral.
GACGAACGCUGGCGGCGUGCUUAACACAUGCAAGUCGAACGGAAAGGCCCCUUUGGGGGUACUCGAGUGGCGAACGGGUGAGUAACACGUGAGUAACCUGCCCUUGACUUCGGGAUAACUUCAGGAAACUGGGGCUAAUACCGGAUAGGAAUCCUUGCUGCAUGGUGGGGGUUGGAAAGCUUCGGCGGUUUUGGAUGGACUCGCGGCUUAUCAGCUUGUUGGUGGGGUAGUGGCUUACCAAGGCUUUGACGGGUAGCCGGCCUGAGAGGGUGACCGGCCACAUUGGGACUGAGAUACGGCCCAGACUCCUACGGGAGGCAGCAGUGGGGAAUAUUGCACAAUGGGCGGAAGCCUGAUGCAGCAACGCCGCGUGCGGGAUGACGGCCUUCGGGUUGUAAACCGCUUUCAGAAGGGGCGAAGCUUGUGGUGACGGUACCUGCAGAAGAAGCACCGGCUAACUACGUG